AUGAACCGGUGCUUGCAUCGGGGAUUAGUGGCGAACGGGUGAGUAACACGUGAGUAACCUGCCCUUGACUCUGGGAUAAGCCUGGGAAACUGGGUCUAAUACCGGAUAUGACCUUCCAUCGCAUGGUGGUUGGUGGAAAGCUUUUGUGGUUUUGGAUGGACUCGCGGCCUAUCAGCUUGUUGGUGAGGUAAUGGCUUACCAAGGCGACGACGGGUAGCCGGCCUGAGAGGGUGACCGGCCACACUGGGACUGAGACACGGCCCAGACUCCUACGGGAGGCAGCAGUGGGGAAUAUUGCACAAUGGGCGCAAGCCUGAUGCAGCGACGCCGCGUGAGGGAUGACGGCCUUCGGGUUGUAAACCUCUUUCAGUAGGGAAGAAGCGAAAGUGACGGUACCUGCAGAAGAAGCGCCGGCUAACUACGUGCCAGCAGCCGCGGUAAUACGUAGGGCGCAAGCGUUAUCCGGAAUUAUUGGGCGUAAAGAGCUCGUAGGCGGUUUGUCGCGUCUGCCGUGAAAGUCCGGGGCUCAACUCCGGAUCUGCGGUGGGUACGGGCAGACUAGAGUGAUGUAGGGGAGACUGGAAUUCCUGGUGUAGCGGUGAAAUGCGCAGAUAUCAGGAGGAACACCGAUGGCGAAGGCAGGUCUCUGGGCAUUAACUGACGCUGA
Molecule: ribosomal RNA, 667 nt
Filed under: Arthrobacter sp.
Lineage: Bacteria; Bacillati; Actinomycetota; Actinomycetes; Micrococcales; Micrococcaceae
Description: bacterial SSU rRNA
Rfam family: Bacterial small subunit ribosomal RNA
Source: RNAcentral